GAUGAACGCUGGCGGCGUGCCUAAUACAUGCAAGUCGAGCGAACGGACGAGAAGCUUGCUUCUCUGAUGUUAGCGGCGGACGGGUGAGUAACACGUGGAUAACCUACCUAUAAGACUGGGAUAACUUCGGGAAACCGGAGCUAAUACCGGAUAAUAUUUUGAACCGCAUGGUUCAAAAGUGAAAGACGGUCUUGCUGUCACUUAUAGAUGGAUCCGCGCUGCAUUAGCUAGUUGGUAAGGUAACGGCUUACCAAGGCAACGAUGCAUAGCCGACCUGAGAGGGUGAUCGGCCACACUGGAACUGAGACACGGUCCAGACUCCUACGGGAGGCAGCAGUAGGGAAUCUUCCGCAAUGGGCGAAAGCCUGACGGAGCAACGCCGCGUGAGUGAUGAAGGUCUUCGGAUCGUAAAACUCUGUUAUUAGGGAAGAACAUAUGUGUAAGUAACUGUGCACAUCUUGACGGUACCUAAUCAGAAAGCCACGGCUAACUACGUGCCAGCAGCCGCGGUAAUACGUAGGUGGCAAGCGUUAUCCGGAAUUAUUGGGCGUAAAGCGCGCGUAGGCGGUUUUUUAAGUCUGAUGUGAAAGCCCACGGCUCAACCGUGGAGGGUCAUUGGAAACUGGAAAACUUGAGUGCAGAAGAGGAAAGUGGAAUUCCAUGUGUAGCGGUGAAAUGCGCAGAGAUAUGGAGGAACACCAGUGGCGAAGGCGACUUUCUGGUCUGUAACUGACGCUGAUGUGCGAAAGCGUGGGGAUCAAACAGGAUUAGAUACCCUGGUAGUCCACGCCGUAAACGAUGAGUGCUAAGUGUUAGGGGGUUUCCGCCCCUUAGCGCUGCAGCUAACGCAUUAAGCACUCCGCCUGGGGAGUACGACCGCAAGGUUGAAACUCAAAGGAAUUGACGGGGACCCGCACAGGCGGUGGAGCAUGUGGUUUAAUUCGAAGCAACGCGAAGAACCUUACCAAAUCUUGACAUCCUUUGACAACUCUAGAGACAGAGCCUUCCCCUUCGGGGGACAAAGUGACAGGUGGUGCAUGGUUGUCGUCAGCUCGUGUCGUGAGAUGUUGGGUUAAGUCCCGCAACGAGCGCAACCCUUAAGCUUAGUUGCCAUCAUUAAGUUGGGCACUCUAAGUUGACUGCCGGUGACAAACCGGAGGAAGGUGGGGAUGACGUCAAAUCAUCAUGCCCCUUAUGAUUUGGGCUACACACGUGCUACAAUGGACAAUACAAAGGGCAGCGAAACCGCGAGGUCAAGCAAAUCCCAUAAAGUUGUUCUCAGUUCGGAUUGUAGUCUGCAACUCGACUACAUGAAGCUGGAAUCGCUAGUAAUCGUAGAUCAGCAUGCUACGGUGAAUACGUUCCCGGGUCU
RNAcentral lists this ribosomal RNA (1372 nucleotides) under uncultured bacterium. Its description in RNAcentral is "bacterial SSU rRNA". It matches the Rfam family "Bacterial small subunit ribosomal RNA", at positions 28 to 1381 of the family's 1533-position model. The record is from RNAcentral.